UACGUAGGGUGCAAGCGUUGUCCGGAAUUAUUGGGCGUAAAGAGCUCGUAGGCGGUCUGUUACGUCGGCUGUGAAAACCUGGGGCUCAACCCCGGGCCUGCAGCCGAUACGGGCAGACUAGAAUUCGGUAGGGGAGACUGGAAUUCCUGGUGUAGCGGUGAAAUGCGCAGAUAUCAGGAGGAACACCGGUGGCGAAGGCGGGUCUCUGGGCCGAUAUUGACGCUGAGGAGCGAAAGCGUGGGGAGCAAACAGG
RNAcentral lists this ribosomal RNA (253 nucleotides) under uncultured bacterium. Its description in RNAcentral is "partial 16S ribosomal RNA". It matches the Rfam family "Bacterial small subunit ribosomal RNA", at positions 524 to 776 of the family's 1533-position model. The record is from RNAcentral.